UACAGAGGUCUCAAGCGUUGUUCGGAUUCAUUGGGCGUAAAGGGUGUGCAGGUGGCGCGCUAAGUCGGGUGUGAAAUUUCGGAGCUUAACUCCGAAACUGCAUUCGAUACUGGCGUGCUUGAGGACUGGAGAGGAGACUGGAAUUCAUGGUGUAGCAGUGAAAUGCGUAGAGAUCAUGAGGAAGACCAGUGGCGAAGGCGGGUCUCUGGACAGUUCCUGACACUGAGACACGAAGGCCAGGGGAGCAAACGGG
Molecule: ribosomal RNA, 253 nt
Filed under: uncultured bacterium
Lineage: Bacteria
Description: partial 16S ribosomal RNA
Rfam family: Bacterial small subunit ribosomal RNA
Source: RNAcentral